GAUGAACGCUGGCGGCGUGCCUAAUACAUGCAAGUCGAGCGAACGGACGAGAAGCUUGCUUCUCUGAUGUUAGCGGCGGACGGGUGAGUAACACGUGGAUAACCUACCUAUAAGACUGGGAUAACUUCGGGAAACCGUAGCUAAUACCGGAUAAUAUUUUGAACCGCAUGGUUCAAAAGUGAAAGACGGUCUUGCUGUCACUUAUAGAUGGAUCCGCGCUGCAUUAGCUAGUUGGUAAGGUAACGGCUUACCAAGGCAACGAUGCAUAGCCGACCUGAGAGGGUGGUCGGCCACACUGGAACUGAGACACGGUCCAGACUCCUACGGGAGGCAGCAGUAGGGAAUCUUCCGCAAUGGGCGAAAGCCUGACGGAGCAACGCCGCGUGAGUGAUGAAGGUCUUCGGAUCGUAAAACUCUGUUAUUAGGGAAGAACAGAUGUGUAAGUAACUGUGCACAUCUUGACGGUACCUAAUCAGAAAGCCACGGCUAACUACGUG
This 497-nucleotide ribosomal RNA is filed under the name uncultured bacterium. Its description in RNAcentral is "partial 16S ribosomal RNA". It matches the Rfam family "Bacterial small subunit ribosomal RNA", at positions 28 to 507 of the family's 1533-position model. The record is from RNAcentral.